Molecule: long non-coding RNA, 661 nt
Filed under: Cucumis sativus (cucumber)
Lineage: Eukaryota; Viridiplantae; Streptophyta; Magnoliopsida; Cucurbitales; Cucurbitaceae
Description: long non-coding RNA (CSAT_LNC001432)
Source: RNAcentral
CCACCACCUCCGAACAAUUUUAACAGACCACCACCGCCACCACCGCACAACUACAGCGGACCACCACCACCACCACCACACAACUUCAGCGGACCACCACCACCACCACCACACAACUUCAGCGGACCACCACCACCACCACCGCACAACUUCAACGGACCACCACCACCACCACCGCACAACUUCAACGGACCACCACCACCACCGUACAACUUCAACGGGCCACCACCUCCUCCACCAAACAACUUCAACGGACCACCACCUCCUCCACCGAACAACUUCAACGGACCACCACCACGCAACUAUGCUUCAGCAUCACCAAAUCACGGAGGAGGAGGAGGAGGAGCACCCCACAACUAUGGGGGGCCACAGGAAAACAACUAUUGGGGAGCACAGCAGCCAAACAACUAUGGUGGACCUUCAAACUCUGGCCGGGGACCUGCAUAGAACAACUACUAUGAAGGGGUAAAAAAAGGCUAAUGGUGGUGGAUGGUCUAAUAUGUGCAUAAAAAUCAAGAAGAAUAGUCUAGGCGGUCAGGGUAGUCUAACGGUGGUGGCUGGUCACUGCAUUUUCGUUUUGGUGCUACAAACGAUGAGUUUAAUUUUGCUUUAUGAGUCGGCAUUUGUUUAAAAUCUGUUUAAGUCUUGUGUACAAUUUAAU